This 34142-nucleotide long non-coding RNA is filed under the name Ricinus communis (castor bean). RNAcentral describes it as "long non-coding RNA (RCOM_LNC002496)". The record is from RNAcentral. Lineage: Eukaryota; Viridiplantae; Streptophyta; Magnoliopsida; Malpighiales; Euphorbiaceae.
UGGCGGAGCAGGAGGUCCUCUCAUCAUAGGCGGUGGACCGCCCUGUGGCUGUGGAGGCAUUCCCAUGGGUCUUUGCCCGAAAUGUGGAGGAGGAGGCAUAGGAAAACCCUGACCAGGUGGUGGAGGCCUAGCACCAAACUGAGGAGGAGGUGGACCGCGCCCCAUCGGUGGAGGACCUUGACCAGGGAAAGCCAUCUGUCCAGGUGGCCUAAUAACAGGCGGUGGAUAACUCAUAGGAGGAGCAGAAAGUUGCGGGACCGGAGGACGCGAGAUCUGAGGCUGCAUCAUACCAGGAGCGGGGCCACCAACACCUCUGACGGGACCAGCAAGACCAGGCUGAGCUUGAAUAAGAGGAGCAGUAGGAAUCCCACGGCCAGCAGCGCGUCCAAUGCCGGGUCCCGCAACGGCAGUAGCAGAAACAGCCUUAGCGCGCGACUCUUCUUGAGGAGGUGGGCCUUCGACGGUCAUGGAAAUAACUUCUUCGCCGCGGAGGAGAACGAGGCCGAGAGUCCGGCGGUCUUCGCGCUCUUCGUUGUUCUUUUUGCCUUUGGCUGGUGGAAGUUUGCGAAACUCCUCGCAGUCACCGAGGACUAAAUUCAUGUGGCGAUCGAAUGCCAUGAAUUUGCCUACUAGUUGACGGCCGUCUUGAAUUGUGACUCGCAUUCUGUAGUUUAUGUGUUGGAGCAUCUUGGAGCUCUUCGACAUCGACAUUUUUAUUAAUCUAGGGAAUUGCAGAAUUUGGGGUUUUGACAAGAAAAGGGCGGAAAACGAAGGUUUUAGGAUUUUGGAAGGGUUUUAUUUCGGUACGGUGAUGUGGAGAGAGGAAAAGAAAAGAAAAUAAAUUGUAUUAAUUUUCUUUCUUCGAAAUUUUAUUUUUUCUUUGGUGAAAAUAUUCUGAAAUUCAAAUCCCUUUACUUUUACAUUAUUCGUAAGUUCAAUAAUUUUCUUCUUAAAGGCAAACAACCCUUUAUAAUUUUGUUCCAUCUCAAUAGUUUUGAUUUUCUCAAGUUAAUAUGAAUAAAAUAACUUGUAUAUAAUUUUUAUAUAAUAAAAUUACUUGAUAAGUUUUUGGAAUUAGAUCUUAGUUUAGAAAAAUAAAUUUAAAAUUAAACUGAGCCUUUUAUAUAAUUCUGAGUUCUGACAUAUUAAUAUAGAAUUUAAUUUUUUAUAAAAGCAAAAUGGAUUAAAAUAUCUAAAAUAUUCUUUUCUCAAAAGCAUUUCAGUCACUAAAUAUCUUUUGCUAAUUUAUGUAUAUAUUAAUUUUUUAGAAUUAAAAAUUUUUUUAUACGUAUAUUUAAUUUUUAAAAUAUAAAAUUUUUAUUUUGACAUGUGUAUUUAUUUUUAACACAUGUGAUUCAAACUUAUAUGUAAUUUUAUAAUUUUAUCUAUUAAUUUAUUAAUUCAUAAAUUAUAUUCUAAUUAAACACUCACUCUAAUCCUAAAAAAUAGCAUAUUAAUUAUUUUUAAUAUUAUAUUAAAUAAUAAAUAAUUUUCUAAUCAGAUACUAAUACUAAUUAUAUUCUAGAAAAUAGCAUAUUAAUUAUAUUUUAAUAUUAUAUUAACUAAUAAAUAAAUUUUAUAAUUAGAUAAUAAUUUUAUUUUAAAAAAUAACAUCUUAAAUUAUGUUCUUAAUAUUAUAUUCAAUAAUAAAAUAAAUUUUUAAUUAUGUAAUAAGUUUUUAAUCUUAAAAAAUUAUAAUAUCAAUUAUAUUGAUAUAUUAAUUUAAAUAGUAUUAAAAUAAAUUAACAAAUAAUUUUGUAUUAUUUUAUUAAUAAAAUUUUAGAAUUUAAAAAAAAUUAAAAAUAUUUAAAAAUAGUUAGUUUGUUAUUAUUUUUAAAAUUUUAUAAAUUAAUAUUAAAUAUUAAAAUUUAUCUUAGGCUAUAAAUAGGACAUCUUAAGCAUUGUCUCAAACACCUAGAAUGCUAGAGAAACCUUAGAUAAGUUUUGUAAACUCCACCCAUUCUUUUUAAAGCUUUCUUGCAUAAUCAAAGCUAUUCUUCCAAGUUUCCAAGUGACUCCUUUUUUCCAUCCUUCUCACAACUCUCUUGAGCUUAAAUUAUUCCUUAGCUAUCGUUGAUAGGUUGUACGGGGCAAAAUGUCACAAAACUUCGGUUUAGAGAUUAGCCAAGUCGUGCGGCACUUAGUUAACUUACUUGACAAAGUCAAACUAAGUAAGUCUAGAUGAGAGUUGGGAGCAAUUUUAGGUGAGCAAAGUAGGCAGCAGGGGUUUAGAACUUGGGUAGGGUAGAGAGUUGAGAGCACUUGAACUUUGAAAGUAUGGAGAGCUUUAUUAAGUUUCCAACCUUUCUCUUGUAUGUUCUUGUUGUUCUUGUAUGUUACAAAUGAUGGAUGGAGGGGGUAUUUAUAGGCUUCCCACCUCCUCAACUUAUGGCUAGGAAUCAUUCUUCUAGAAUUCUCUACAAGUUACAUAUGUACAAGGCUUCCUUUGGAAGCUACUAUAUGUACAAACAUCUAGACUUACUUAUAGGCAGCUCAUUGGCUUGGCACAAAGCCUUGCAUCCUCCAACAAUCUCUAGAUCCUUCCCUUGAUUUCCCUGGGCAGCCAACUUGGGCUAGGCAGCAGCAUUGGACUGGGCAUAUGUUGGGCAUAUUUCUGCCCAUGGACAAGCCUUGCCUUGCCCAAGAUGAGGCGGGCUGUGACACCCUCCCCCACUCAAUCUCUCGACGUCCUCGUCGCGCCUUGAGCUUCGUAUUUUUGGAUAUGCUCAAGGAAUUGCCAUAGCAAAUCUUCACGUUCCCACGUAACCUCACUGUCGGGAAAAUUUUUCCACUUCACCAAGUAUUCGUUGUAGUUGGGAACUCCUCUUCUUCUUAUCACUCUAUCUGCAAUGAUGCAUUCAAUCUCCUUAUCGAACUCGGUGACAACGGUUAUUGGAGCUCUUCUAGAUUCUCCACGGCUGGAGUCUUCCUUGUCUUCGUGGUAUGGCUUAAGCAUACUCACAUGGAAGACAUUAUGGAUUUUUAAUCUCGAGGGCAGUUGGAGCUGGUAGGCAACAGCACCAACGCGUUUUACGACUAGGAAUGGACCUUUAUAUCGCCUUACCAAGCCUUUUGUACUUUGCGGAGGGAUUUGAACUUAUUAGGCAGCAGCUUCACCCUCACCAAGUCGCCAGCGCUGUAUUCCUUAGGGCGUCUCUUUACAUCAGCCCACUUCUUCAAGCGCUUCGCUACUUUGUCGAGGCAUGCCCUUGUUAUAUCCGCCUCUUCGUGCCAUUCCCUUACAAACUUAUAGGCAGAAGGGUUGGCUCCUCUAUAGCCAGCAGCAAUGGCAUUUGGCGUCAAUGGCUGCUGUCCCAUAAUGACUUCAAAGGGACUCUUACUCGUGGACUCGCUCUUUUGGAGGUUAUACGAGAAUUGGGCUACGUCAAGCAGUUUUGCCCAAUCUCGUUGGUGAGCACUAACAUAAUGCCUUAGGUAGAGUUCCAGCCAAGCAUUAAUCCUUUUCGUUUGGUCGUCGCUUUGUGGAUGAAAGCUUGUAGAGAAGUUGAGGUCUGUGCCCAGCAACUUGAACAACUCUCGUCAAAACUUGUCGGUAAACCGAGGGUCUCUAUCACUGAUUAUACUCUUCGGUAAGCCCUACAGCUUCACAACAUUCUUGAAGAAGAGGCGAGCUGCCUCGUCUACCUUGCAGUCCGCCGGGGUAGGGAUAAAAGUAGCAUACUUGCUAAAUCUAUCCACGACAACCAUGAUACUUUCGAACCCUUCGGAUUUUGGCAGGGCCACAAUGAAGUCCACAAGACACUCUCCCAUGGCCUUUCAGCGACAGGAAGAUGUUCAAGUAGGCCAGCAGGCUGUUAUUGUUCCACCUUGUCUUGUUGGCAUAUAAGGCAGGUCCGAACAUAGUCCUCCACAUCGUCCUUAAGUUGCGGCCAGUAGUAGUUUUGCUGGACUAAUGCAAGUGUGCGAGUCAUGCUGGGAUGUCCAGCCCACAAGGAGUCAUGGCACUCCUUCAAAAUUUCUCUCCGCAGGUUUCCCCACUUCGGCACAUAGACUCGAUUGCCAAUAGUGAGGAGAAGGCCAUCUUUCUCCCAGAAUCGUCGAGUUUUUCCCUCGAUUGCCAGCUUGAUAAUGCUCUUGGCCAAAGUGUCUUGCUGCAUUCCUUCCUUGAUUCGGCUAAAGAAGUCGCUCUUCAGCGUGCUAGCAGCAAUGGAAGCCAACUCCGCCUUUCUACUCAACGCAUCAGCGACAAUGUUGGCUUUACCUAGCUUAUAUUCAAGCUUGUAGUCGAAUUCGGCCAAGAAAUCUUACCAGCGUGCUUGCUUAAGACUCAACUUCUUUUGAGUCUGAAAAUAGCUUGUAGCUACAUUGUCCGUUAAAAUAGUGAACUUGUUGUCGAGCAAGUAAUGUCUCCAUGUGCGCAAGCAGUGGACGACGGCGGUCAUUUCCUUCUCUUGGACAGUAUACCGCCUUUCCGUUUCAUUGAGCUUGUGACUUUCAUAGGCGAUAGGGUGCCUAUCUUGCAUAAGGACGCCUCCAAUGGCAUAAUCUGAGGCAUCUGUAUGCACCUCAAAUGGUUUUUCAUAGUCGGGCAGCAUCAUGACAGGCUCCAUUGACACGACAUCCUUCAAGGCUUCGAAUGCAACUUGGCAUUCCUCACCCCAAUUCCAUACCUUAUUCUUCUUGAGUAGUUCCGUCAAUGGAGCGGCAAUGGCAGAAUAGCCUUUGAUGAACCGCCGAUAAUAGUUCACCAGCCCAAGAAAAGAUCGCAACUCGGGCACUUUGGAAGGAGGUUGCCAUUCUUGGAUGGCUUUAACUUUUGCUGGAUCCAUCAUUAACCUACCAUCUUUGAUUCGAUGGCCAAGGAACUCUACUUCUUCUCUCGCGAAUGAGCAUUUCUCACACUUCACGUACAGCUCGUGUUCGCAGAGUACUUGGAAGACUUGCUUGAGGUGUUGCAUAUUCUCCUUAAGACUGUUGCUGUAUACAACAAUGUCAUCCAAAUAAACAACCACAAACUUAUCAAGAAAGGGAUGGAGUACCUUGUUCAUGAGCGUACAGAAAGUGGCAGGGGCAUUAAUGAGGCUGAAAGGCAUGACCAAGGACUCGAAAGCUCCAUAUCGAGUCACACAUGCUGUCUUCGGCACAUCACCAGGUGCGAUGCGGACUUGGUAGUAACCAGACCUCAAAUCCAGCUUUGAGAAAUAUUGAGCCUUCCCCAAUUGAUCGAACAAGUCGGCAAUCAAGGGAAUUGGUUACUUAUUCUUGAUGGUAAUCUUGUUUAAAGCUCGAUAAUCUAGGCACAUCCGUAGCGAACCGUCCUUCUUCUUUUGAAGAGGACUGGCGCACCAUAUGGGCCUUCGAUGGCUGGAUAUAGCCCGACUCAAGUAGAUCUUGGAACUAUUUUCUCAAUUCAGCCAGCUUCGGAGGUGCCAUGCGGUAGGGUGCCAUGGCAAGAGGUUUAGCACCAGGCUCGAGCUCGAUGUCGUGAUCCACAUAUCGCUUUGGUGGCAACUUUUUCGGCAGCUUCAGUGGCAUCACGUCCUUGUAUUCGUCAAGGAGUGCUUCGAUGGAUUAUGGCAAAUGCGGGGCAGAUUACUCAACAUCGUCCUCAUCAUUAAGCUCCCUCAUAGUUGCGACGUAACACUCCCCGUUCUUGAGACCCCGCUUGAAUUGCAAGGUAGAAAUCAUAGCGGGUUUGGAUUUCGCCAUGCUCUUCAAGGGGAUCACUCUAAGCUUAGAAGCGUCGAGGAUCACUAGAGAGCUCAUGGAAGGGACCAAAAUGGCAUAGGCUUUGUAGAAGAAUGCUAGACCAAAAACAGUUUUAAAAUCAUCCAUAGGCACAACAGUAAAGUCUAGCGUACCUUGCCAAUAACCAACUUGCACCUUCAUAUUUUUCGAAAUGCCAUGCAUAGGCUUUGUCUCCGAAUUAACAGCCUUAAUCGUGCCGACUCUUUUGGACAGCUUCAGGCCUAGGCGCUUCGCCUCGUACACGUCCAUGAAGUUGUGCGUAGCACCCGUAUCGAGCAUGGGGCAGGCAACUUUGCCCUUAAUGAAAGCAUCGACGUAAAGCAGGCCUCUCUCCUUGGAGACUGAGCGAGAGAGGAGCUUUGACAACGCACCUAAGUGCUGUAGAGAACCCAUGCCAGCUUGGGGUUCUUAUUGGCAGUUAUCUUUGUUGAAUUCUGCCACAAUGGCAUUCAUCACCUUUCGAUUUGGGCAGUUCCUCACCUAGUGUGGUCCAUCGCAAAUGAAGCAAGGCUUGGGCGGCUUAGAGGCAGCAGGUUUUUCUUUAUGUGAUGCACCUUUGCCGUACUUUUAGUUGCCGCCAGAGGACUUCUGGUAGCCAUUCUCUUUGCCUUUGUUGAAGUCCCUCUUUUGGCCUCCCCCACUCUUGGAAGAGCUAGACUUCUUGCCCUUGUCUUGAGUAGAUUAGUCCUUGAGGUUCUCCACUGCGGUAAUUGCUUCAUCAAGGGUUUGCACUCCGCGUCGCUCGAGCUCCAUCUUUACCCAAUCUUUCAACCCAUCCUUGAAAUCAAAGAGGAGCUGAUCGUCGGUUAGGUCUGGAAUCUCUAGCAUGAGAGUCGUGAACUCCUUGACAUACUCGGCAAUACUUCCUGUUUGCCUUAGCCUAUGCAGCCUGCUUCAUACCUCAUCAUUGGAGUUGUGAGGCAUAAAUUGCUUGCGGAGCUCGGUCUUGAACUGUUCCUACGUGUUGAUUAUGCAAAGUCCCUUCUCCCUAUCGGAAUGUUUCCUUCUCCACCAGAGUUAGGCGGAAUCCCUUAAGAAGAUGGCAGCAUUGCUAAUCUUCAAAAAGUCAUCCGUGACGUUCAUCACCUCAAAGCCCGAACAAGAAGUUUUCCACCAUAGUGGCGUUGCGCGUGCCAUUGUACAUGCCAGGCUUAGGGACUUUCAAUCCGUGCGAGGUAGCGGAACUAGUAGUGGCAGCUGUGCUUGUCGAGGGUGGACUACCUUGACGAAGAGCAUCAAUCUCCCUACGAACCUCUUUCAGCUCAUCUCGUAGGGUACUUUGCUGGUCAACGAACUCUUCUUUAAGGGAGCAUAGUUUUCCCCAAAAAGUUGGCCUUGGCAGCCCUUGUGAUCUCCAUGUUUUCAUGGAUGAGGUUGUCAACCUUAUCACUUAGCUCGCCAAUAGUCGAAGUCACGCUAGUCAAUCUUUCUCAAGGCUAGCAACUCUGGACUCGACAGGCUCGCGUGCUGGAGCCUUGGAUUUCCCCCGUUUAGGCUGUGAUCGAUGUUCCUCACGCCCGUGGGUCUACUCAGUGCGUUGCUCUUCCAUCGUAACAGCCACAAUUCCUUCCUCGCUUGCCAUCACUCGAAUCACUUCCACCAGCGUUACCUAGGAUUCAAACAGUUGCUCUGAUACCACCUGUCACGAAACUUCGGCUUAGAGGUUACCCAAGUUGCGCGACACUUAGUUAACUUGCUUAACAAAGUCGAACUAAGUAAGCCUAGAUGAGAGUUGGGAGCAAUUUUAGGUGAGCAAAGUAGGCAGCAAGGGUUUAGGACUUGGGUAGAGUAGAGAGUUGAGAGCACUUGAGCUUUAAAAGUAUGGAGAGCUUUAUUAAGUUUCCAACCUUCCUCUUGUAUGUUCUUGUUGUUCUUGUAUGUUACAAAUGAUGAACGGAUGGGGUAUCUAUAGGCUUCCCACCUACUCAACUUGUAGCUAGGAAUCAUUCUCUAGAAUUCUCUACACGUUACAUAUGUACAAUGCUUCCUUUGGAAGCUACUCUAUGUACAAACAAGGGAAGUUUCUAGGUAGCUCCUUGGCUUAGCACAAAGCCUUGCAUCCUCCAGCAAUCUCUAGAUCCUUCCCUUGGUUUCCUUGGGCAGCCAACUUGGGCUAGGCAGCAGUAUUGGGCUGGGCAUAUGCUGGGCAUAUUUUUGCCCAUGGACAAGCCUUGCCUUGCCCAAGAUGAGGCGGGCUGUGACAAAAAGCUGACUUAUAAGAUUAUUACCUGAAAGAAUCAAGUGAUUACAUGUACGUUAAAGGAAAAUCUUUAUUUUUGGAGGAAGGGUAAAACUCCAAAUAAAUUCUCUCCAUGAAGCAUAGGAGUUGGCAUGAAAGGCAGGAGCAAAAUAAUUAAAGGAUAUAACUAAAAAAUAAGCCCUUUGUAAAGUACAAUUCGUUAGAGCAUCAAAAUGCCAACAAAAUACCAAUUAGCACAUAGAAAACUAGGGCGAGGCAUCUGCAAAAUAAGAACAUUUUCAUGAGCAAGAAAAUUUAAUUUAACCAAAUCCAAGUCCCAAAUGUCAUGAGCCCACAAAUAAGAGGAAAUUUUACGAACCGAUCUGUGAGUUCGCGACCGGCGCUAGGGAAUGGGUAGGCUUAAGGCCACCAAAAUCCAUAGCAAGCCUGACAUAUCACUAAAUCAAUUUAAUAUAAUAUUUAUCCAUUAUGUCAAUAUUUCNNNNNNNNNNNNNNNNNNNNNNNNNNNNNNNNNNNNNNNNNNNNNNNNNNNNNNNNNNNNNNNNNNNNNNNNNNNNNNNNNNNNNNNNNNNNNNNNNNNNNNNNNNNNNNNNNNNNNNNNNNNNNNNNNNNNNNNNNNNNNNNNNNNNNNNNNNNNNNNNNNNNNNNNNNNNNNNNNNNNNNNNNNNNNNNNNNNNNNNNNNNNNNNNNNNNNNNNNNNNNNNNNNNNNNNNNNNNNNNNNNNNNNNNNNNNNNNNNNNNNNNNNNNNNNNNNNNNNNNNNNNNNNNNNNNNNNNNNNNNNNNNNNNNNNNNNNNNNNNNNNNNNNNNNNNNNNNNNNNNNNNNNNNNNNNNNNNNNNNNNNNNNNNNNNNNNNNNNNNNNNNNNNNNNNNNNNNNNNNNNNNNNNNNNNNNNNNNNNNNNNNNNNNNNNNNNNNNNNNNNNNNNNNNNNNNNNNNNNNNNNNNNNNNNNNNNNNNNNNNNNNNNNNNNNNNNNNNNNNNNNNNNNNNNNNNNNNNNNNNNUGGAGAAUCUAGAUUUUUAAUAGUCAGUCCUGCAAAUAAAAUUUAUUAUAUUAAAACCUGAAAAAUAAGGAAGUCUGGCUGCCAAAAAAGAAGAACUGCUGAAGACCUAGUUGACACUUGAAAAAUCAGGUUGAGACUGUCAGUCUCAAGAGUAAGUUAAAAUCAUAUAUAUAUAUAUAUAUAUAUAUAUAAUAAUUAUUUAAAUAGUAUAGAAUAUUACAUAAUGAUAAAUACGUGUCAUAUCAUAAUUUAAAAAUAUAUAAUUUUUAACACUCACGGGACGAGUACUUCAGCAGAAUCCUAAACCAAGUUCUAGCAGCUUUUUGACUCUCUUAUUCUAAUAAGACUAGCACCUAGAGAAUAAAGCUCUACCAGAAUUCUUAAAUCCAGUCUUGUCACUUAAAUACCAAUAUAGUCGGCACCCAUAGCGCAAUACUCCUCGAGGGACCUUUCUCCAGCAAAUCACAAUAAAGAGUUGUGCUCGGCCAGAGCAAAUCACCAAAUAUUUUCCUAUUACCUAAGAUACACACAUGGUCCUGAAGCAACCCAUCAAGUAGGAUGUUCUACUGCAGUCUCAUCCUGGAUCACGUUACCAUCAUACAUUAAUAAUAUUUAAAAUAGCGUAAAUUAGAAAUAAUCUUAAUUUUAUUCAAUGAAUCAUUAAGUAUUAAAAUUAAAUAUCAACGAAUAUAACAGACAUAAAUUUAAAUGCAGUAUAAACAACAAUUAUAACCAUUAUGAAAUUAUAAUGGUAAAAAUAAAUAAAUAUUACUUAUAAAAAAUAUCGAUAAUAACAAAACUAAUUUAAUGAUAAUAAUAAUCAUAAUAAUCAUAAUGGUUGUCAAUCCAAACAAUGCAUUAAAAUUAGGCAUGACAUGUAUAGUGAUUACAUGACUUUAACUUACAGUUCUAAUAAUAUUUUUACUCUGCUCCUGUGCCUCGGGUGGAGCAGGCUGAAUCAAUGGAAUAUCUAUUCACGGGAAUAAUUCAAUCAAUAAAAAUAAUAUUUAAUAAAUAACCAUGAGCCUAGACUCAUAGAAUUUACUGUCUAAGAAUUUCGACUCAUAAAUUAUACUGAGUAUUCGACAUAAUCUUCCAUAAAAUACGAACGUUUAUCCCCCAUAUAACGAGUCCAAAACCUGCUAAAAAUACUUCAAAUAUUCAUUACAUAUUUAUCAAGAGUCGAGUCACCCAUAACUGCAUUAUUUUCUCGACUCCAUAACACACCACAUAUCACAAUUAGUAACAGACAGUCCAACUUUAAUAUUUAUUUCAUAAACAACUCAUAAAUAAUUUUCCUAGUAUCUAGUUUAAUUAUUCACAAUCACAAUUAUCACAAAACCAAAUAAUUCUUAAUCAUAAUAAUUAAUUCAUAAUAUUUAUAAUUAAACUAUCAAUUAAUUAAAUUAAUUAAUUAAUUAUAAUUAACAAUUAAUGAAGUUAAUGAUUUUUGAAUAAUUUUCAAGGUCUAAAUAAAUUUUACCGAGCCAAAAAUUCAAAACUCUGCGCAUCUGGAAAAACUGGAUUCCGAAAAUUGGUACCGUCAACGGUGUCGAAAUUCGAAUCUGAAAGUGCUUACGCGAAGCUUACGACAUGCUGAAUCCAAAUAUGUAAUUAUUUUUGCCUAGAACUCAUCGAAAACUACCGGAUCGAGGCCGAAAGAUUUCAUCUCUGGUGAGGCAUAGAGGAGCUCUACAAUGACUGCCUGAUGGCAAAGAACGGAUGUCUUAUGGUUUUUGGGCCAGGGAAUCCGAAUCCGGUGUCGAUUUGGCCAGAAAAUGCCGGUAAGGGGUUGUACCAGAGGUGGAAGCUAGUGACGCCUCCUUUCUCCCUUGCUUCUCAACUUUUUUGAUGAGAAAAUGGGGAAAGAGUGAGGGAAGGGAAGAGGAGGAAAAAUGCUGAUGGCUGUGGUACUUGGUUGAUCCUUACAUAUGUAAUGUAGUGCUUUUGAGUACCCGUGUUAGUUUUAUAGGAAAUUGAGCGCAAUGUGCUUGCUUUCUAGUUGGGUUCUUAGGAUGAGCAACGCCAAUUGCAUUGGCAGAAUGGAAGGCGGUAUGGAUUUUAGGGACCUUAGUACUUGCAAGGGUAAUUAUCCCAACUGGUACCAAUACUUGGCACUAUAUAUCAAUUUGGUACCAAGACUUUAAUUUGAAUCGAUUUGAUGCUGACGUGGCAUGCUGAGUAGGAAUUUUUCAGGUAUUUUGCCCGCUCAGCGUGUGCCACGUCAAUUAAUGACGCUGAGCGGGAAAAAUCCCAUUAAUUUAUCCUAAUUUCCCCUAAUUAAUCCUUAAUUUCUCAAAAUUCCUAAUUCUAUUUCCCUCUCCCCUCUUCUCUCCUAUUCCCCUCUCUUCUUCCCUGCUUCCCUCUCUUCUUCCCAGCAUUCUCGCAUUCCAAAAUCUCUCAUUCGUUCUUUCAAACAUAUUGUGUGGAGUAUGUUUGAGCAUCUAGAGGCGAUCGAGUUCAAGAGACUGGGAGGUAACGAGUUUAAAUAUAAAGAAAAGAAAGAAGAUGAGAAAGAAACAUCUAGCUCAGACAAAGAAGAGGUUGUUUUUCAAGCCCUGAUGGAAUUAAAAGGCGUAGGAUUAUGGUUAUGCAGUAUUGUAUUAGCUGGUUUGAGUGGGGAUGCAAAGGUAUUCUUGGAGAUGAGAAAAUCAGAUGGGGUAUUGUCUAACCCUUCUUUGCUCAAUCUGGAUUCAAGUAUUUGUGGUGUUAUGAUGGAGAAAGGAUGUGUAUUAAAGGAUGUAAAAGAGCUUAAAGAUUCAGCUACUUUCCUUGCUGUUGUUAUAGCUGGUAAGAACAGCAGUGAUGCAGCAGAGGAACUGCGGAGAAAAAUGGGGGUGUUUGAGAAGAUGCUGGAUGGUUUGGGAAAGGAGGUGAAUCUAUUCUUUUCCGAAGUAUUAGCUUGGAGAAAUCAAUUGCUUGAUGGUAUUAGAUUUCGGAAGUAGUAACAAGGUUUAUAAGUUUAUAUGUAUUGUUUGUUCUUAAUUUUGUUGUAUAUAGAGUUACUUCAAUUUUAUUUCAUAGCAAUUAUAGGAUCUUUUGUAAAGCUGCAAAGAAAAUUUUAAAGAUAUAAAUAUAUGGUUGAUCAUCUUCAAAUUGUAAAUUCUAAAAAAUUGCAUGUACAAUCUCAUUCAGAAAUUAGAUUUAGAACAUGUUAAAAGAAGCUGCAAAAGUAGUGCAUUCUAGUUACUGAUGAAUUCAGGAAAGGAUGGAUAUAAACCAAAAUCUAGGCAGCAUUCACUAUUCUGAUACAGGUGGAAAAAAGGAUCUAAGAAAACCAUUACCCAAAAUGGGCAACACUAACUACCACUUGAAACCAACUAAUUGUCAUAAUCGAAGUUCAAGAAGAGAAUAAUCAUAAAUUCAGCCAGUGGUAAAUUAUGGUUAAGAAAACCAUGUAACCUAUAUGGUGGACAAUUCUAAGCAGGGCUAGUGUUAAAAGGACUAGUAGAAGACAUCAUUGUUGACACUAAGGACAAUUCUAAGCAAAAGUAUUAAGUAGUGCACUUUAAGUAAUUACAAAAUAGCAACUUGUAUUAAGUGUGGAACACAAGAACAUGACAAAAUAAUUAAAUGAUUUUAUGGUCCUGAUCAAAAAACAGUGUUGACACUGAGCACAAUAAACAAGCAUGUGAAAUAUGUCUUAUGGACCACAAAAGCACCAUCUGUCCUAAAAGCAAAAAAUAAAAGUUCCUACAUAUAAACAAGUUCCUAAUGUAUUAAACAAUCAUAAUGCCUAGCUAAGGCUUGUUGUUGUCUCCAAGACCAGCAGGCAUCCAAGGCUUCUUCUUCUUUGAGGUUGCAGUCUCAACAUUUUCUUUCCUCUUAGCCUUCUUAGUUGUUGCUUGCACCUUAUCUUUCCCCUUUCCCAAACUUUCAUUUAGAGUAGAAUUAGAUCCAGAAGCUUUCUUUGAUGCUGUUGAAAGAGAUGCAGAUCUAGGAGGCAGAAAUGGCUUGUUGCCCUUGUUCUUCAUUGUCUUGCCCUUGUUCUUCACUGUCUUGGCCUUGCCAUUCUUCUUACUCGGCUGGGAGUCUUCAUUCACUCCACUUGAUUGAGUUGGAAUAUCACUUAGUAACUCAUUGAUGCUUCUUGUAUUUUGAUGAGGUCUUUGUGUUCCUGCAACAGUUUGGGACAAACUUGUCCAAUGAAGAUUAAUAUCAUCUAGAUCUACUAGAUGACUAGGUAUAUCAAACUCAGUUUGGAUUGACAAUGAAGGAGUUACAUUUUGCACCUGCAUAAGUUAAAGUAAAUAUACAUUAGGUUAUUAUAAAUAUAUUUAGUUAAGUAAAUGGACUUAUUACCUGUGCAGUCUCAAUUGGAUCAUUUUCUAAGUAUUGGGCAGUUGGGGAGUUGGUCAGUAGGGUCAUUAAGGAGUUGGUCAGUAGGGUCAUUGGGGAGUUGGUCAGUAGGGUCUAUCUGGUUUGCUCUUCUUUGUACCUAGUAAAACACCAAAAUAAUAAUUUCAUUAUAUUUUAAAGAAACCUAAUAUACAAAAGCUUGAAUUGAAAUUACUCUUACUUGUAAUUUUUUCAUCUUAGGCCGUUUUGAUGUAGAUUUGGCAUGACCAUGGUAUCUCUUAUUGUGGCCUUUAGCUCCACAAAUGGUGCAAGUCAUCACUGAGCCUUUUUUGGUUACUUUGCCCUUUUAUAGUACAACAAUCAUCUCAUCUUCUUCUAAUCUCCUCUUUGUAACAAAUCUGCCUCUCUGUUUUAGUUGAACUGGAGCAGGAGAUAGCACAGGUGGUGUUGUGGCUCUUGGCCAAAAUUCAUAGCUAAUAGUAGGGUUUAGCAAGUGGCUGUAUGUUUUUAAAUAAGUACUGACCUUGUAAUAAUCAUCUAGAUAAUUCUCAGGAUUAUCAUGCUUAUACCAUAUUGCACACACUGCAUGGCAGCAUGGUAUGCCAGUUAAAUCAAACCUCCUACAAGUACAUGUUUUGUCCUUAAUGUCAACCACAAACUGCCCCCUAGGACCAACUACCUAAAACCUAUCCCCCCCUGACCACUCAGUUCUGAACAUCCAGCAGAAUUCUUUAGACUUCUCUAACUUAGCUAAAAUCUUAGGACAAUAUUGACUGGCAGUUCUUUUCAUAGCAUCUCUCUUUUUGUGAAUUCUUUUCAUUAACUUUGUCCUAAUGAUCUCAUUCAUUGUUAUAACUCCCUUAGUCCUUGACUCUAGAAUGAAGCUAUUAAAACAUUCACAAAGAUUGUUUAAUAAUAUGUCACAUUUAGGGGUUGUCCUAAAAUGUGACCUAGACCAAUGGUGGGGGUGGGGGGGGGGGGUAUAUUGUUCAUGUAGUUAUGGCCAUCUGUAGAAAUUUCUACAAUUUUAUCCAUGAUUUUCUGGAACAUUGGCACAUAACUAGCCCUAGCAGCCCCCCAAACUAACUCUUUUAGUCCUAAUGUAUUAAAAUUUUUCUUCAAAUUAUUGUGGACAUGUCUAACACAAAAUCUGUGUUCUGCAUUGAGAAAUAUCUCUUCAAUUGCACGAAUUAAACCCUAAUUAAGCAUAAAAACUAAUAAACCACAAUUAACAACUCCAACAUAUAUUAGUUCACAUAUAUACUAAAAAAAUAUUAAAAUGAAAGGAUUAGAAGCUUGUACCUUCUGUCUGUCACUCACAAAGGUCCAGUGGUGACUGUUGUUGAGUCCCAAGUCAGCUGCUAGUAGGUCUAGGAACCAUUUCCAGUUAUCCUUGUUCUCCUUUUGAACAACUGCCCAAGCAACUGGAUAUAUACAGUCGUUGGCAUCAACUGCCACAGCUGUUAGUAGCUGCCCACCAUAAAUCCCCUUCAACCAGCAACCAUCAAUUGAUAUUAAAGGUCUGCAAUACUUGAAUCCAUCCUUUAGGGCACCAAAAUAAACAUAUAAACCCUUGAACACUUGUUCCUCUAAAUGUAGCACAAUUGUGGACCCAGGAUUACUCCUUAGCAACUCAAGUUUGUAAUCAUGCAGUCUACCCAAUUGCUCUUUUGCAUCACCAUCAAUGAACUUCAGAGCAAUGUUCCUAGCUCUCCAAGCCUUUAGCCUAGAGACAUCAACUGCCAUAUCCUCUUUAACAGUUUGAAUAAUACAUUGAAUUGCCCAACUUGGAUCAGCCCUAAACCUUUCCACAUACUUCAUGGCAAUGUACUUAGCAUUAACAUGUCUGUUAUAGUGCUCUUUAGUGCAACUGUGAUCAAACUUUGCAGACUUGAUUUGCACAGUGUUCUUAUCAUCUGUCUUCAAGUAAGCCCAAAUAAAAAAUUCACAUCCCUUUUUGCACUUUGCUUUACAUUUUGUUUUUGUAUUUGGACCAAAAAUUACUUGAUUCCUACUCCUUAUUGAGUAGUUCUUUACUGCAUCUUUAAACUGCCUAAAAGUACUAAACAACAUGCCUAUCUUCAAAUUAGGGUUGGCCAUAUCUGUCUCCUCAUUAAAAAUUGGUCAUUUUGCCUUCCUCAAAUCAAUAUCACUUUCAUCAGAUGAAGAGCAUGACCUAAGCUCAUCAUUUGGUGCAUAAACAGUCUCAUCUAAACCCUCACCUCCAAUUAUUUCUUUAUUAACCCUUGUUCUAUCCCUUUCUAACGCCAUAUCAAUAAAUUUUUCAAAUAAAUCAUCAUCAUCUUCAUCAUGAAAGUCAUAAUCAGAAUCAACAAAUUCAGGGUCAUCCUCAUCAGCCUCACUUUCAAACUCCUCACUAUCAUCAUUCCCAUGACCAUCUUGUUCAAUUUGUACUUCUUCUAAGCUAGUGCCCUUACUAUUUAGCAUUCUCACUUCCUCAGAUGAUUCAAUAUUAUCAGCAUGCACAACAUUCUCAGUUGGUUCUAAAUUAUCUUGUUGCAUAUUUACCUUAUCCCUAGCAUAAAUAUGAAUCACUCUUGACUCAUCAACACUUAAAGACAUCUCAAUACUAUCACUGUCAUUAUCUAACUUUCUCAAACCACAUGUGUCACUUUUUUUUGGAUGCUUCCAAAACAUAGAAAAUGAUGCAGGUACCAGACUCAAUUCUCUGGCCAUUGCAUCUAUCUCUAAUCUUGACAUCAUAUCAGCAGAACAAAAAUCUAUGCUCCCAACAUCUCUAAUUUCUGGCCUACCCCUACCAUCUACCCCAAAACAAUGCCAUUCUAUACUGAAAUACUCUGUAUCAGGCACUGCAUAUGGUAAAAUGGAUAAAACAAAUCAAUGCCAUUCUUUAUAUUACAAUCACUCAAUACAAUGCAAAUCAAUAAGGAAAAGGGUUUCAAAUCACGAAACACCAACCACCACAAUAAAACACAUAACAGAAGAUCAUCCUUUGCAAGUUACCAAAAACCAAGCACAACCAUCAACAUGCAACAUACAAAGCACAAGAACAAAAUGCAAGUUAUAUGACUUAUAGUACACGGGCUGCCUUUUGCUUUCUUCCCUUCGCCUCCAUUCAAGAGACAUUGUGCGAUGCGAACAAUGCUGUAAAACGCACACUCUAUAAUGUGAAAAUGUUGUGACAGUGGGGGUAACAAUGCUGUAAAAUGCACACUGGGGGUAACAGGAGUUACGGGGAAGAAGAAAGGGAAGAAGGAGAGAUUUUGGAAUGCGAGAAUGCUGUGACAGUGGGGGUAACAGGAGUUACGGGGAAGAAGAGAGGGAAGCGGGGAAGAAGAGGGGAGAGGGAAAUAGAAUUAGGGAUUUUGGGAAAUUAGGAAUUAAUUAGGGGAAAUUGGGAUAAAUUAAUGGGAUUUAGGGAUUUUGCCCGCUCAGCAUCAUUAAUUGACGUGGCACACGCUAAGCAGGCAAAACACCCGAAAAAUUCCUACUCAGCAUGCCACGUCAGCAUCAGCCGUCAGAAUUUGACUGUUGGUACUAAAUUGAUAUAUUUUUAUAUACGUUUGUUAUCAAAUCGAUUCAAAUUAAAGUCUUUGUACCAAAUUGAUAUAUAGUGCCAAGUAUUGGUACCAGCUGGAAUAAUUACCCGUACUUGCAACAAGGCUAUAGUUGGUAAACAGAUUUGGCGGAUGUUAACUAGGCCUGACUCUUGUAUCUCGUGUUUUCUUAGGGUUCCUCAUAAUUCAAUUUUAUAUGGUCGUUUAGGCUCCAAUCCUUCGUAUGUUCGUCCAAGUAUUUUAUAGGGUCUUGAUCUUUUCCAAAGAGGUUUACGAUGACGUAUUGACCUCAUUCUUUCAAGUCAUUUCUCCUCAAAAGACUAUAGCAUCAGGACUGAAAGAUAGCGCGUGAUUAAGCCAAUAUCAAGGCCUAUGAUAUGUUAAUAUUUAUGAUAAAGCAAAGCAAUCAUCCUAUUAAGACUAGGAGACUUAGGCGGUUGCACGUCAAAAAAUAGCUCGUUUAACAUUUUCAGCACAAAAUGACGCCAAUAAAAUCCUGUUAGAAUUGGAUACACAAGUAGGCAAACAAUUUAAAAUCGGAUCCAGUAUCUCCUCACUAGGAGCAGAAGUAGUGUAUGUAUCAGCAAAAUAAUUCUAAACACAUCAUCUGCUACAGUACCUUGGAAAUUAGAUACCCAGUGACCAUCCGUUUGUAGAAGUCUGGUCAUACAAUUAGUACGACAUCUCUAAGUUGCUUUUUAAUGGAGAAACUUUGAUUACAUUCCUUCAAAGCUAACCAAGAACACAAGAGGGUUGAGUCCAAUAAAUUUCAUCCUUAAAUGCUAUUUUUUUUCUAGUUGGUUCUCUAAAGACUCAAUGUUCCAUUAGCAUAGCUAAAUUUGAAUAGGAUGACUCGGUGUUAGGAAAAGUAAGCCCCCCUUGCGUUGAUUGAAUUUGGCUUCACUGCGCCUUGAAUCAAUAAAAAAGCUUAUUGAUUGGAUUCACCCCACUUCAUUUAGGCGAGAAGGGAGGCUGUGAGUCCAUAAUACCCACAACAGUAGUAGCACUGCAUUUAAGUGUUUCAAUCUGUUAUUACAACUUUGCAAUUUUCCAUGGCAAGUGAAGAAACUUUUCAAAACCCCAUUCUGAAGGUAAGGUUACACACUUCAAAAUUUGAGUUAUCAAAGGGACAUAAUUACUUGAAUCACACUGCUGCUAAGGUAGAGAGAUAACAACUUCAUAAUCACUUUCAGCAGUCCAAAUUUCUUAAACCUAAAAUUAAACAUCCAUCCAAACUCUGAAAUAAAACAUGAAUUUGGUAAUGAUCUGAGUGAUAGAAGUCUAAAAAAGUCACCCUUGCUGAUAGAAACUGAAGUAACCAUUUAAAGAACAUAUAUACUUGUCCAAUUUGCAUUGAAUCAGAACCUCUUGAUUAUGUCAGUUUAUUCCAUACAAAGUGAGGACCAGCAUAAGGCAAACACAUUAGAUAAUAAUUUGUUACAGCUUCUUCGAAAGUAGAUAUUUAAGUGAAGGAUCAUAUACGAUCACCUGAUUUAUGCAAUAAGAACUCAUUAGAGUCCCCUCCAAAUAACUAAAAGAAUAUCUUUCACUCAAGAAUGGUUGAUAGCUUGCGAAGUAAGUUCCAAAAGGUGUCAGGGGAAUAUAUGAGGAUUGCAAUAAUACCCAGUAAACUGCCACAAAGUCUUUACACCAUUCACAAGAGCAUCGAUAUGACCAAUAGAGUAAAAUUUCAUGUAAUGGAGAUUUUCAAGACAAAAUUUAGGAAUAAAGUCCAAUUUAGCCCCUAACCUUAUUGCUCGGGUUUAAUUUAGAUUUUCUUAAAAACAAUUUGGACAUUUUAACCCAAACUUUAGAUAUUUAGCUCAAACUAGCCCUAUCUUUUAUAAAAAUGAGAGAGUGAGUUACACACUCCCUAGAGAGAGCAGAUACAAUAUAACAUUAAAAAAAAUAUAUUAAUUUCUAUAUUAAAUUAAAAAUAUAUAUAUUGAUAGUUAAACAAAAAAUAAUAAAAAAAAAUAUUGCUAUAGUAAUUUUACUGUUUUUUUUCUUAACAAUGAUAGUGAAAAAAACAGUUACACUAGUACUGCCAAAGGCAGUAGAGAUGAGAGUAAUUUCAGCGAGAAUAAUGGUAGUAAUAACUAUUUAUUGCUUAAUUACAUUAAUUAACUAAAAUUAUAAAAUAAUUUUUAAAUAAUAUUAUAUAAUUUUUUAAUUAUUUUUUAUUUUCAAGAGAGAGUAUUUCUCACUCUUUUUUUUCAAAAUAAGGUUAAUUUGAGCUAAAUAUACAAGGGUUUAAGUUAAAAAGUUCAUAAAUUUGAAAAAUAAUUAAAUUGAACAUGUGCAACAAGGUUAGUAGUCAAAUUGCACUUUAUUCGCAAAAUUUACCCACCACUACAUACAAAGAACAUGUAAUCAAAACAUAGAAGAGAUUGAAGGGAGCACAAGAGGAAAAAUGUAACUUAGUUCCAGAUAAAAACAACAACAUGGGAUCUUUAGCAUGAAUUAGGCAUUAGAGUUCCUUAAAUUCCCGAAAGGUUCCCAAGCCCUCCAACAUUCCAAAAAAUGCAAUUUAUAAUUAUUGAUAAGACUAGAAUCCAGCCUCAAUUGAUGGAUCAAUAAUUAAAGAAGUGACAACUACUUAGUUUUGAUUUCUACUUUAAUUUCUUAGUUAUAUGGAUUGUCUAUUGCUUACCUCCUCCCUUGAUAAGAUGAUUAAUAAGCAACUCCAUGUACUGUUAACUAGCAAUGCAAAAACACCUUAGGCUUACUCACUCGUUUCCUUGGGGCUUCGAUCAAAAGAGACUGUCGUGAUGGCAUCAUUUGUAGGCAUAGAAAGGUGGGCUUUUUCUUAAUUUAAUACAUUUAAAAUAAAAAUUAUUAUUUUAGGGUAAAAGUAAAUAAAAUUUAGAAUUUAGAAUUUAGAAUUGUUUUAGAAAUAAAUUCUAUUUUAAGGUAUUUUUAAAAGUCAAAAAAGAAAUUUAGUCCUGUUUUUUAGAUAAACUUUUUUUUUUUUUUUUGCUUUUCAGUUUACUCAGAUUACGCAGAGUAACCGGUUCAGCUAGUUUCAUGUAUGCAGCACUAGUGGAAACAACUACUCUUUAUAAAAAUAAUAAAAAUAAUAAAAAUAAAAGUUAAAAAUAAAAUAUGACUGCUCGUCUUUUUUUAUUUCUUUCCUUUUUUUUCUUAUUCUUCUUUGUUCUUUCUUCUUUUAUUUCUAUUUUUCUCUAUUUCUUUCAGUUUUUUUUUUUCAUUUCUUUGUUUCUUUCAAAAAAAUCUCUUUCUUACUUUUAGAGUAGCCGAUGAGUAUUUUUCUGUAUUUUUAUUUUUUGAUCGGUAUAGAACAUCUUUUUUUGUUGGAAGUAAAGAAUAUAUUUUUGACUUUAAAAAGAUAAUAAUUGUAUGUAUAUUUUUUUAACCUUAUAUGACGAUUUUUAUAACUAUUUAUUUUUUUAUUUUUUUGACUUUUUAGAAUAUUAAUAAUAUUUUUUACUUUUGUAGGUAUUAUUAAAGUUAUAUAAGAAAUCGUUAUACAAGGUAACAAGUUGUAUUUGUAAUUUUUUAAAUUAAAUUUGUGGUAGUUAUUAUAUUUAUUUUUUUCAUUAAGAAAUAUAUCAUGACUAUUUUAAAGUAGUUUUAUGCAAAUUUAAAUUAGCAAAAUAUACCUCUUUUUAGGAUUUGUUAAAAUGACCUUUAAUUAUAAUAUGCAAUUUAUGUAGAGUAAAGAAAGGAUAAAAAAUAAAUAUCUAAUUUUCUGUAAUUAGAAAAAAAAUAUUAUUAAAUUAAGAACAAUCCUUCAUGAUACUAAAGGNNNNNNNNNNNNNNNNNNNNNNNNNNNNNNNNNNNNNNNNNNNNNNNNNNNNNNNNNNNNNNNNNNNNNNNNNNNNNNNNNNNNNNNNNNNNNNNNNNNNNNNNNNNNNNNNNNNNNNNNNNNNNNNNNNNNNNNNNNNNNNNNNNNNNNNNNNNNNNNNNNNNNNNNNNNNNNNNNNNNNNNNNNNNNNNNNNNNNNNNNNNNNNNNNNNNNNNNNNNNNNNNNNNNNNNNNNNNNNNNNNNNNNNNNNNNNNNNNNNNNNNNNNNNNNNNNNNNNNNNNNNNNNNNNNNNNNNNNNNNNNAAAGGAGAUAUCUGUUAAAUUUUAAAGAUAAUAAGGAAUAAAAAGUUAGGCAAAGAGCUCAAACCUUUGAAGUUUCUAAUGCAAAUGCCACCAUAACCACUUACUCAAACAAUUCAACAUCAAUUAUAUCAAGAUCAUAAGAUUUUAGAAAACAAAUGUUUAAAUUGAAAUAAUGAAACAACUAUAAAUUACAUUAGCGACAAUAGAGUUAAAUUAACAAUUAAUUCACAAUGAAUUAGGGGGUCAAAUAAUUGAAGAAAAAUAAUUUGAAAAAAAAUUAAUGGAAAGUAAGGAAACGAAAAUAAAAAGACAAUUGGACCUUUGUGAUCAAUAAUGUCGAUCAACCAAAGGUGAAGAUGAGAAGAAAAGAUCUUGUUCUUUAGAAGCAAAGUGGAAUUUAGAUUCUCUGUUAUCAUGAUGUUCUAGUGCUGGAAGAUUAAGGUCUCGUCCAACUUAGAGCAGUAACAAUAAAUUUCACAAACUUAUUGUGCAUCGAAAAGGGUUUUUAUCAAAUAUAAUGGUUAAAAAUAAUUUUUAUAACUAAUUUUAUAAUUAUAGUAAUUACUCAAUACUGUGAAUAUAUAUAUUCUUAUAGACUAAUAAAAUUGAAAAUAUAGUAUUUUUAUGGAAAAAGAGAAGAAAUUUUGGAUAAUCAAAAGAAAUAAUGAUUGUAUAUUUGAUAUAUUAAUGUUUGUAUUGGAUGAGUAGUUUAAUCUGUAUUAAAAAAUUAGUGUUUAUUUGUUGCAAUUAAUUAAUAAUUUAUUUAGAUUUUUUAAUAAUUUAUUUAUUUUUUGUUUAAUUAUGUUUUAUGUUAUUUAUAAUAUUUAUAUUAUUGAUACAAAAAAUUAUGGUAGGGCUUACCGGAGUUUCUGUGGUUAUACAUACUAGUGAAUAAUGAAGAAAAAUGCGAGAAUUAUUAAACAUGUUUGAAAACAUUAAAAUAAAUUCUGAGGACAACAAUGAUGACUUGACUCAUUUGAUAAAUCAUAUUAUAAAAAUUAAUAAUUGUAUACAAGAGAUUGUUUGGAAAAUAUAUUUAAUGACAGAUGGUGAAAAAUAUAAAGUCCUUAAAACAUGUUUAUGUUAUCCAAAUGUACAUGGUAACCUUGAUUGUCUAUGGAAUAGCUAUGAAGGUAAAGGAACUUAUAAAAGACUUAUUAAAGAAUUUAUUAAAGAGUAUGUGAAUUGGGUAGCAAAGAAGACAUCUAGCUAUUAUAUUGGCAAGAGAAAUAUAUCACGAUACUCUAUAUUGCCAAAGGUGAAUUAUGAGUUGCUUGAGAAAGAUAAGGAUAAAUUAGAAAAAUCAAUUCAUGUCCAUAGGAUGGAUUUGUAAUUAUUAUCAUGUCUAUGUUAAUAAAAUUUAUUAUAUUUGAAAUAAUUUAUAUUUGAAGCAUAUUUAAAAGCGUAGUUAUAUUCAUAAGAACUUACAUGAUAGUUAUAUUCAUAAGAACUUACAUAAUAGAAAUGAUGCCUACUAUACUGUCUUUGCUUAUUUAUUGGGAUGGUGAUACCAUUUAUACUUCAAUGGGUACGUGUUUUGUUAAUAUAUAUUCAAAAGUGGUGACGCUAGAUGGAGAGCUAAAUCUUGCCCUAUUGCUAUACAACAUAAAAAAUACUUUGCAACUCACUGGCAAUGCGGAAAUUAAAUUUUAUUUAAAGCAUCAUUUGUUAACCAUGGUGGGAAUUUGAUAUUUACAACAUGUAAAAUUUGGGGGGAAGAUGAUAUUGCGAUUAUGCAUCACAAUGCUAAUUAAUUUUUGGGGUUGCAAUUUGUGGAGUUAUUUGUCGAACAUAACGAUGGUAGAUCUACAGAACAAGUAGUGCAACCAGCUGAACCUCGAUGUCGUAAUUUUAGUGAAAUUGAUAGUUGUAGUCAAAGCGUAACUAACAAUGCCCCUAAGCUCGAUGACCAUUUACAAGAUAUACUUAGACAAACGGGUUUAUAUGGAUUAGUCCAGCUGAAAUUUCUUCAAUUAGAUUAGCACAUAAUAACCGCACUUGUAGAGAGAUGGAGGCCGGAAACUCAUCCAUUCCAUCUCCUAGAUGGAGAAUGCACUAUAAAGUUGCAAGAUGUAGCCAUUUUGACUGAACUUUCUAUUGACAGUUAUGCAUUGAUUGGGCCUACUAGAUAUGAUUGGCCUGUGUUAUGUGAGAGACUGUUUAGGUUGUGUCCUAUUGCAGAGUCAAUUAGAGGGUCACAGCUUCGACUAUCAUGGAUUCGUGCUAACUUUGGCAACAUACCACAUGAAGCUGACAAAGAAUAGUUCAUUGUCAUGCUAGGGCUUACAUAUUACAGCUCAUUUCAGGGACCUUGUUUGCGAUAAAAUUACCAGAUGAGCAUCAUUAGUCGACCUACUAUAUUUAGAAAAUAUUGGGACUAUUCGUAAUACAAUUUAGGAGGUGCAUGUUUGGCAUUUUUGUAUAGAGAUUUGUGUAUUGCAUCAAGAUAUCCUCUUGUUUCACAAUUUAGGGGAGCACUCUUUCUAUUGCAACUAUGGGCAUAUGAGAGAUUUCUAUUCAUCGUACCAACAUUGCAUCACCCACAAUUCUAUCAUGACGCUUUCCUUAAACGAAUGUAUUUUAAUAAUUUUUUAAUUGUCUACCCAGCUAUUUAUAUGCAUAUUUGAUAAUUCUACCUAUAUAAUAAAAUUUAGAUGGAUCGGUCAUCGCAUAGUUCAUAGAGUAGCUACACAUAAGAUCCGUGAGAUCCGAUUUUGGUUUGAUAUAUCUUAUGGAGAUAAGGUGUGUUCAAACUUAUACUUUUACAUUCCUACAAUAUUUAAGCAUAUUUAUAUUGUGUAUUUGAUAAUAAAUUAUCUUUUUAAUAUUACACCUUUUCUUAAUAGAUUAUAUGGGAGUCAUACACGCAUGAGGUCAUUAAGCGCCUUCUAACUGACGGCUUACAUGGCGAGCUGUAGUACCACUAAUAUGUAUUCAUAUAGUCGAAUGGCACCAACCUGAUAGAGUUUUAAGGCAAUUUGAUUUAAAACAACCAAUCUCUAAUCUGUCAUAACAAACUGAGGCAUUUUAUUCUGUCGUGUUACAUAAUAAUAUCAAUAUCAACUAGGUAGAACGACAUUCUAGAUGGAUCGAAAUAUGGAAUAACAUAGCUCAUUGCAUAGUAAAUAGGACACUAUCAGAUAGACCAAUCGACCUGUCAUAUGUAGGUAGAUCACAUGCCGAGGUGCUAUAAUCGGAGCAUCAGUCAAUUAACUUCACCUUUAUUUUAUAAUUAGAUGCAUAUAUCUGCAAUAUUAUUAUUUAUUGUUUUUUUCAUAACUUUUGUCUAGACUAAUGCACUUGAGUAUAUUGGGAUGACAAACUCCAUCGAAACUACACAUCGACUUGCCAGAAGUUCUCAAAGGCACUAAAUGAGGAUAGAAGAAUUGUCAUUAUGCCUCCCCCACAUCCUGCACUUGCUCCUCAGCCAUUGCACAAAGAUGUGCAAGGUUCCAACACAGAAGUUCCCCAACCGCCAAGACGUCGAUGCAACAUGUACAGAGAAGUACCUAUCCCACCUAAUGCGACAUGUGCUAUAGUGCUAGAACCAGUCUCAUAUCAUAAUCAACAGUUUUAUAGAGCAUCAACUUCAUAUACAGCUCCUUCUGCAAUAACUACAUCUUCAAAUAUUCCUAUGCAAUCUCAGCCAAACCCGUUUGUUGAUCCAUCAAACUUUAUGGCAGAUCCUUCUGCAUUAUAGUUCUCCGUCCCUUUUUUAUCAUCAGGUCCAUUCACAGAGUGGGAUAGAACCAAUUUCACGCCUUUUCGACCUUCUCCUACAAUAUUUCGACAGCACAAUCACAAUCAUAGCAUUUAGACUCACAACUGACGCAGACACCAUUAGAUAUGAUGUUGUCAUCAUUUUUCCAUUCACCAUUUCAGUCCUCCAUUCCGACAGCUUUUCAUAAUUUUCCUUAGUUGAGUACAAUGCCAACAGAUACAUAUGCAACUCCAAAUGAUGCCGGAAAUGCCGAUACUAAUGCAGAUGAUCGCGACCUGCCGAUGAUGUUGAAGCUAUUCAUGAUAGUCUUCAACCUAUUCAAUCGCGUGAUUCCUUUUUAUUAAGAUGGAUACUACACGUAAUAAUGCUUGAAGAGCUAGGGGGCUAAGAUUAAAUAUCCAUAGAAGAAAUUGUGGCACAUAAAUACUAUUAUUAUAUAUGUACUUGACCAUUUUAUGUAAUAAUUAAACUUAAUUUAAUCAGUUAUCUUAGCUAACACAUGAAUUAUCAUAGAAAAAUUAUGAGAUAUGAUAGUUAUUAAUUUAAUAGUUAUUUCAUAGUAUUUAACCGUGUCGUGGAAUAACUUAUUUUAAAUUUAUUAUAAUAAUUUAUCUUUUUUAUGUACAGUAAUUUUAAUUUAAUCACGUAUUGUAAUAUUCUUUUUUAUAAAAAAAUUUAUUAAAAUUAAAUUAAUAUUAUGAUUAUGAUUAUCAUGUAUCCGACAGUAAAAUUGAUAGAGAUUUUUCUCUACAAAUUUUAAAUUUGUCCAUCACUUCAAUUUUAACACUCAUAUAGAUCAACAACCACAAUAGAAUAAACCUUACUAGAAGCAAUAAACAGCCCUCGACGAAGAGGUCUGGUCAAACCCAAAAGAACACGAAUCCGAAGUAAGCACCAGCUAACCCACGAUCCACCUCCACCACUACACCAAUUUCUGCAGUGAGUGUUUCAGCCAUGUCAUGGGACAUAAAAGAGGACCCGAAAAGGAGCACAACCAAAACAGAUCAGCAACGGUUUGAUUUUUCCUCAAUGGGGAGGAAGACACUAAAGACCGAACAGAAUUGCAUGGACCCUCAGAAAGCACCCUAUUUUGUUCCAAUACAGAACGGAAUCGUAGCAUAAAGUUAAUUUCACCAACCAUGUGUCCAUUUCCAAACCAUUAGCUUCACGAUUAAUCAAAUAAGGGGACAGAAACCUUACAAAUUAAACACUUGCAUAAUCGUUGAGCAGCGGCAGUAGGAAUAGAGGAGCCUAGUAAUUUAACUUAUACUCAUUUUAACUACCAUCAAAAAAAUUAUAACUGCAGUUAAUUAACAAAUUUACUUCAACAGUCUUAUUAAUUGUUUAGUAAAUUAGAUUACUUAUCAAUUAAUUUUAUUAAUAAUAAAAAUAUCAAUAAUUUUUGAAGACUUGAGUAUUUGAACCAAAUUGCUGUCAAUUGAUUCAUUAACUCGCAACUCAGAACACAAAUUGUGUUGAUUCUUCUUGGGUCAGUGAUGGAAAAAGAAAAGCAUAAAGAUGGACACUAGAGGGGACACCAAUAAUGAAAUCAUUCAAAUAGAGAGGGACAAACUCAUCAAUGGACGAGGGAUCUUCUUCCAUAUAGAAGCCAACCUCCCAAAACGUAUCCUAGAAGUUGCAGUGGACCAUUUUUUUAAAGUUGUUUCGAGUGUUAUACUUUAACAUCUCUUUUAAUUGUUUAUCUUUAAUUCAUAAUCAUAAGUCAAGCCGCAAGUGAAAUUGCUAAACAUGUUAUAGUUUUAAUCAAUUCAUCACAAUUGUGUCCUUUCAACGUAGGUCCACAUGAUCUCUGCAAACAGAUGCGGCGAUUUGCCAACCAAAACAAGGUUCAGCUAGCUCUCAGAUAAUCAGGAUUGGCUGCUUUAAUACGCAUAGACGAGUGCAUAUAAAACAUCAUGAUUUAUAAAAUCCAAGUUUAGCACAGAUGAUAGAUUGAUGUGUAUUAAACACAGAAUAAUCUGUUCAUGAGGUGGAUGCAUCAGGAACUGGAAACAGGGCCAGCCCGUCAAAUACCCAGAAAAAUCACUUCAGUUUAUCAGCCAAGAUGCCAUAAAAUCAGCCUCCAAGGUGAAUGCACCAUGCAGCAGACAAAUAUACUAGAGCGGCAAGUCUGUACGCAACAUCCUGAAUGUUUUUUUCACAUAAAUUCAAUUAAAAUGCUGCACUGCCAACAAGUAUUUUCUGAUGAUCACAUGUGCUACGCUAGAUUUUGGUAGGAAAUACCAAGCCAACAUAAUUUAUAGUACCCUCACAGCAUCAGCUCAAAAGUCCUAGACUACAAUAGGAGAAGGAUACACAUAAGUGCAAACCAAUACAGAACCGCCCAAUAGUAAACUAGAUGUUUCAGACAAUGAAGGCAAAACUCAAACAAAGGCUUCACCAAUUGAGAGAGCUCUUUUGCAAUCUUCAUUCUGAGAAUUUUCACAGCACAACUACAGUGAGCCUGAAACCAAAUUAAUAUAGUCGGGGUGAAUUUCAAACUAAAAGUGAAUUACUUAUGAAUAUGUGGAAGAAAAAUGUAACAUGAGCAAUUUUAGAAUUGAAUCUUUGCAGUAUUAAUGAAUAAAGCACAACUAUUAGCAAAUAUAACCUUAGAUAUUCCAAACAAGUAAUUGACGAACUCCUUGACAAUAAAAAUCAGAAGACGUUAUAGAGUCAAGCGAAUUGCUUUGCCAAAAUCCCAAAUAGAGAAAAGAAUUUAAGUAUACGCAUCUGAGGAAGCUUCACUGCAAUAAGAAUGAUCAAACAAGAGUGUAUAAAGGCAAACUCAGUUUGAUCAACUAAUAUGCCUAUUAUAUAGGCAGGUCAAGCCUAUGUAAUAGCAGCAUGGGCUCAAGUGUCAUCUAGAGAUUAUAAACCCAACAUCUAUUUCUCCAGCCUCAAAGAUGGUUCAUGUAGCUGGAAAUUCCAACCAAUAAAAAUCCCAAUGAACCUAAAAAGGGUAUAAAGGCCCAGCAGAAGUUACUUGUUUUGCAAGACCCCGCUAUAAUUUCUAUCCAUAUGUGUUCUGAUCGCAACUCAUACUAGAUCCGGUUUUUUUUUUUUUAAUUUGAAGCAAAUUCAUUAGGCCGCUGCCCCAACCCCGACUUCAUCAUAAAUAAAAGCAAUAUGCUACAAUAAUGGAACUCCAGACAGCUCCAACUUCAAAAGUAGGCUCAACCAUUUCAAUCUAAUAAGCACACAUAAAAGAUAUGUAAACUGUGCAUAUUAACCAAGGUCCAACAGUAAAAGGCAGAAGAAAUAAGGGGUUGAUAACAAUCUGCCAAUUGUGUCCAACCCCAAGUCCUGUCAACAAAUACAAAAGAAUAGGUGAAGAGAUGAUCGUAUUAGUAAAGGGUUCCCAACCAGGCCUGGAACAGGGUCAGAUAUUAUGAUAUCACCUAUAACAUGCUCAGGCUUGGAUUAGGAUCCUCUGUUCAGUUGGCAAUUCCAAUCCCGAAUCAAACCCUCAUGUUAAUCAGGUCAAUGGGAGAUUGAAUUUUGGCAAUGUUAAUCGAGAAACAAAAUUACUUUGGACUUGAUUCACCAACCUCUUCUAAACUAUCUUAACUAGUCUCUGUACACAUAUUGCUGAAAAAAAUUAUGCCCAUUUCAUAGGAGAGAAACCUUGCAGAGGGUUAAAACGGGUAACCAUAUACUGCCAUGAAAAAGAAUAUCCACACCCAAACCCCAAUUUAAGGUUACACAAUAGAACUCCUUUUAAGAAUAUCCAAUAAGCAUCUUCUUACUCCAAAGCACAAUAUUUUACACUCGAAAGAUUAAAUCAUCAAGUAACACUUCCAUGCGCACAGAAGAAAACUUUCAUUGGUAUGAUAGGUUGAUAAUCGUCCAAGCACAAAGAAUGUUCAAAGCAUGAUCUACUCCCAGCCUUAUACUUAAGAUCAAUUUGAGUUGGUCCAUCAAGGACUGAUAAGGAGAACUGAAUUUAUACAUUGAUAGUAAGAGAUAAUCAUCAUCCUACUGCCCAGGCACUAGAUCCUGAACAUGACCACACCACUGGUUCUUACAAACCUAGCCAUCCACUUUUGCCACUGGUUCACAAGUAUUGCUCCUAAUGGACCCAAUCCCAUUGUAAUGUAUGCUUUUAUGCACUAGGUCUAUGAAAGUCCAAGCCUUAAAUUUGAGUUAAUUUGAUUAAACUGGAGUUAUUAGAAGGAUGUAGUUUAAAAGGUAGUUUUGAUGUAAUGUGAAUGGUGGCAGAGCAGGAGCUCCAUAUAUUGGAACCUUAUGGUGCUAAAGCGAAGUCCAACAUGAAAGAUAGAAAACAUUUUAGAUUUGAUCUGGUGAUUUGUUUCCUUCAAUGGUAUUUUAUACAUGUUUACCAGUUUGCAUGUGAAUGAAGAACAACUCAUAACAAGUAUGUAGAGCUCAAUUUGAGUUUUGAUACUGAACUAUAAAGUAGGAGUCAUGGAGGAGACUUGAGAAGGCAUGCAGUCACUUAUAAGUAGUGCGAUAGAUAGUUCCAUUACUUUUUCUUUUUCUCUUGUAUGAGGCGGGUUAGAAUAGGGAUUUCCAGGUCCAUAAAGGACAAAUCAUCACCUAUUCUUAGUUCAAAACAUGAAAGAGUCGGUCCAUCAAAAACAAAAAGGAGAUAUUGCUUUACAGAUUGUUGACUGAAAUGAAACUUUUUGCAGGUAGCAUUCAUGAUGAGGGAAUUUUUUUAAUGAUUUUUGUCAUGAUUAAUUGAUAGAUUAUUUUACCGUUUGUUUCAAGUUAUCUCUUGCAGCAUAGAAGGACGAGUUUCUAAAAUGCAUAUUAGUACUUUAGCUAAAACUCAAGUUUAAUGUACAAAUUAUUCUUCACGACAUUUUGUAAUUAAAAUUAGCCAGAGAAAUAAUCCUUUUAAAUAUUUUCUUUAAAUUUUUAACACUCUUUUUGGACCAAUGGCACAGACUGUUGGCAAUUCAGGGAUAUGCAUGAAGAACUCUACGUUACUUGGUUAUAUUAAGUUUCUGAGGCACUUUCUAGCAUGGAAAGUUAUCUGCUAGAUAAAAUUUCUAAAUAGAACAUGUUCACGCUGAACCAAUAGACAUGGGGGGGCAACAAUGAGUGUUUAUAAACUUCUACUCUUAGGCCAUAUAAAACAGAAUCAGAUUCCCAUGGCAUCCAUUCGCAUAUAUGUCAUGUUUCCAUCUUUCAAGCAUCUAAUGUCUGAGCAUGCCAUGCAUCAAAAUGUUUUCAGAACAGGCAAAAUCAGUUUUAUCUCGCUAGCAAUGAAGAACUUACAAAACCAACAUUCACUAGAGGAUUACGGUUAGUUACCUCAAGGAUAACAAACUUUUAACCCUGUUACUGUUGAAUUCUAUGAAAUAAUAAAAACAGGUUUUCCAUAGUGACUAGACUGAAGAUACAGGUUCCCUUGAGAAAUCAACAACUAAAAACCAGUCACAAGAGUGUAUACAUAGAUGGUCUAACAUUUAUACUAGCAAGAUUCAGUUUGGUAAUCGUUAUCCUAGUUCACAUAUUUAUUUAAUAUAACCAGAUAAGCACAAAUAAUGCAAUAUGCAAGGAAGAGAAAAGGAGGCUAAGUGAACAACAAUUCUUAAACUACAAAUUCAAGAAAGCUACUCGGGGAAAAAAUUUCUGCAAUCAAUGGAUGAAUCAACAGAUUAAAUAGUCCCAUUUCAGCUAAUGAAUUGCUUAUAUCACUAGCUAAACCUCAACAUUGUAACAAACCUUAUUGGAACUCAGCAAUAGACAAACCUUUGACAACCCUUAGCAGAGCCUAUUAGUCUUGAAAAUGUCUUAGCAAUUCAUGAAUCCACUAUUUUUCAUUCUCAGUAGUAUCUCUAGACCACAAUAAAGACUCUUACUAGUGCAGUAGGUAACUGCCUUUGUAUGUUCUAUAAUGUCCUCCACAGUUUUCAUGUAUAAAAGUAAGAGAACAUAACUAGCUAGACCAACUUAUGCCGCUGUAUUGGACAAUUAAUUCACCAGGUUUUUAUGCAUACACGAGAAGCUGUAAGAAUGAUUAAGGAUCCUAUACAAAUUAAUUUUUAAGAACAUAACACGUUUAUCAGUGAAAGAAUAUAUACGCUUUUAGACAAAUUAUAUAUGCUUUUAGAAAAAAAAAAUUUUACUUUUAUACGCUAAUCUAUACUAUAUACUGUUAAGUAUAUAAUAUAUUUGAAAUAUACUCAUAAUAUACUUCGAUGAUACUCUUUGUAUACUUAUAAUAUACUCGGAGUAUACGACAUACUAUUAAGCUUAUAAGUCCUUUUAAAUAUAAGUUGAAUAUACUUGUAAUAUACUCGAUGAUACUCGUUGUAUUCUCAAAAUAAAUUUGAUGUAAAUUAUUUUUAAAAUUAUUUUGUGCUUUUUCAAUUUGUUCAAAAAUGAUUUUAGUUAUCUAAUUUGCUUAGUUGUUAUAAUCUCAAAUUUGUUUUUCCAAUAAUUUUAAAAAUCUGAACGGAAAAAACUCAAUGAGAAUCAGAGUAUCAUAUACCUGAAAUAAAUUCAUUAUAUACCGUUCACUGUAAACUUUUAAAAUUAUUUUUUAUUUUCUCAUAAAAUUAUUUUUUUAUAUAAUGUAUAAUUGAUGUAUUUUAUAAGAUAUAUAUUAAACAUAUAAAAUAUAAAUACAAAUCUACUAAAUUUUAAAAAUAUAUGCUUAUGAUAUACCUAUAGAUAUUGAAUAUAUACUUUUUUCUAGAUUUUCCGAAUAAUAGAUCUGUUUUCUAUGGAUAUGAGUUUUGAAAUCCAAUAUUUACCUUAAAUAACUUAAAAAUCAUAUAAUAUAAUCAUUUUUAAAGCAUUUUAAUAUAUUUUAAAGUAACACAAAAUUAGCUAAAUACAUGUUUGAAAUUGAAUUUACCUCUUAUAUUGAUGAAUCUAUCUUCAUGAAAUUUUUUAUCUAUAAUUUUUUAUGUUUCUUAUUGCAUAUUAGCGAAUUGUUGAUAAGAUUACUAUUAGAUUUGUUAUAACAUCCUCAGAAAAAAUACCGUUAACUAUGAGAUUUGAAAAGUUAUUGCUAUUUGAUAUGAGAAUAUCUAUUACAUAAGAAUUUACAUACCUUAUGUUUUCUUCUUAAUUUCCAUCGUGGUGAAGAAAAAUAGGUAUUGGAUCCAUAUCUAUAUAGAAAUAAAUAUAAAAGAGGAUUUCAAAUUUGAAUGAAAAAAAAUUCAAUAAGAGUCAGAGCAUCAUAUACUUGAAAUAAACUCGUUAUAUAUUUAAUACAUAUUGUAAUCCUAAUACAUUUUGUGCGAUAAACAUAUAGAUAAAGUUUGAAUUAAUUUAUUCAAAUAAUUGAUCCAAAACUCCUUCAAAACUCAAAUUCUAGUUUAUAUACAAAGACCCAAAUUAAUAAUCAUAAACAAGAAUUAAAUAUAAUCCAACCUAUGUAUGAAAAUAAACAUAUAUAUAUAUUUGAACAAACUUAAUAAUCAAUAAAAUUACACAUUUUAUUUUUAAUUUAAGGUUAAGAAUUAACAUCUAAUUAGCUAAUCCUGAAAUUUACUCAGUAAUUAAUAAUUAGUAAUAAAACAAAAUAACACUAGAAGAUAAUGAUGUUUGGCUAUUAGAAGAAAAACUAAAAUAAAUAUAUAUGUAUAAAAAAAAAAAGAAUGACCGUUACAAUCAAAAGCUAAUUAAUAAUCUUGCAUUAUAUAAUUCAUUUGAAAAGCAUCGGGUGGCCCUGGUGGACCCGAUAAAUCAACUGGGCCAAAGAAUUUUGUAACAUUGAAAUCCAAAUUUUAAGAAGUACAGAAAAUUGGUUGUUUAAUGAGAUUGAUAUUGUUGGAAGGCAAAGAGGAUAAGAGAAAUGCCAAAAAAAGAUACCAACAUUCUUUUAGAUUUAACGUAUAAAAGUAAGAUAGACUGGUUUUGGAGUAAUUUUAUAAAAUUUUAAAAGUGGAAAUAUAGAAAUUAGUUGGAUUAUAUUAUAAGCAUUUCUAGAAAAUACCUCAAUUUUUUAUUGCUUAAAAGAUCCAUUAAAAACUAAGUCAAACAAACCUAAAUAUUUUUUUCUUUAGAAAGAAAUCUUUAAAUACAGCACACGAAGAUUUAGUCUGCAUUUUAUUUUAUUUGAUAUAUAUCCUUUUUGUUGGUUAGCUCCAGAAAAGAAAUUAAAUUAAUUUCUAAAUUAGUUUUUCCAUCUUAUAAUUCCUAGUCAAAAUAUCUUGUAACUGAUUUGGACAUACAUAAUAUACGUACAUUAAAAAUUAAAUUAAGCUACAAAAGAGGACAUGUGUAGGAUAGGGAUAUCUGCCUGCAUCUUCCCAAGAUAUCAACCAGUAAUUAAAUUAAUAUUUUUAUUACUUAGCACCUAUAAACUUAAUCUGACGGUAUAUGCAUAUCGCGAUGUUAUUUGUAACAAAAAUAUAUAUAUGUGCUGCCUAUAUAAAGCUUAAUCUUGCCACACCUACUCUGUGCAUACCAUAAUUCAUCCAGUGCAAUUCCAUUCCUGAAUCAAACUCUCAAUGAAAUCAGGUUAAUGGCAGAUUGAAUUUCGUCAAGGGGAAAUAUUAAUCUCAAAUCAAAAUUAUUUUGGCAUUCAUUCCUAAUCUCUUCUAACCCACCUUAACUAGUCUAUGUACACAUUGUUAAGCCUUGUGGUAACUCAACAAUGGACAAACCUUUGACAAGCAAUUAGCAAAGUCCAUUAGUCUUGAGAAAGUCUUAGCAUAUCAUGAAUCCACGAUUUUCAUUCUCAGUAGUAUCUCUAGAGUCUAGGACUCUUACCAGUGCAGUAAGUAAUUGCCUUUAUAUGUUCUACAAUGUCCUUCACAUCUUUCAUACACAAAAGCAAGAGAAUAUAGCUAGCUACACUAACUUAUCCCCCCCCUAUGCUGGAGAACUCACUAGUUUUUCAUGUUUACACAACAAGCUGUAAGAAUAAUUAAGGAAGAAUCCUAUAAAAACUAGUUCUUAUCAUGGAAAGCAUACUUAUUACUAAAUUCAUGUUGCACAAAUAGAGAUACGAAUAAAAUAACUUAAUGCAGUGUAGAAAUAAUUGAGAGAGGACAUUGCACACUUGUAUAGUUGUAUAAUGUAGGUUGACCAAAGGGUUCGUCAAAACUAAUUAAAAUUUCAAUACGGCAGUAUAAUUUCCCCAAAUAGACACCAAAGCAUCGUAUCUAAAGGAACGGAGCUAAUUGCAAAGAUAGAAAUUAUCAAUAAUUCACUGCUCCAUACUCCAUAUCUAAACAUACCCGAAAUGACAAGCAAUAAUAUCAAUAACCACAUGACUGAGAAGUUAAGAAAGAAAGAGUAGCAAUAGCCAAUACCUAUAAUUACUGCAGCUGAUUCUGCUGUUGUGGAUUAUGAGGAGGAGGCAUACCGGGACGAGGAGGUCCAUAACCAGGUGGAGGAGGCAUCCCUGGACGAGGAGGUGGUGCCAUUCCAGGUCUUGGCGGAGCAGGAGGUCCUCUCAUCAUAGGCGGUGGACCGCCCUGUGGCUGCGGAGGCAUUCCCAUGGGUCUUUGCCCGAACUGUGGAGGAGGAGGCAUAGGAAAACCCUGACCAGGUGGUGGAGGCCUAGCACCAAACUGAGGAGGAGGUGGACCGCGCCCCAUCGGUGGAGGACCUUGACCAGGGAAAGCCAUCUGUCCAGGGGGCCUAAUAACAGGCGGUGGAUAACUCA